GUGCCACUUAAUUUUGAUGCCAACUUUUCUCCAUGCCCAAGAGGUUUUUGCAUGAACUUUUGUCCAUGCUAAGAGGCCCUCCGCCCUCCCUUUCUCACCUCCAAAUAUGGGUAAGAUCUAGUUUUAAAUGGUAUGUUCAAAUUAGAUUUGAAUAAGAUACCAUAUAGGAUAAGGUUUGACCUUAUCCAUACCUUGCCGCCCACAUUCCUUUUAUCCCUUUCUUGUGUGCAACAAAAAGAGAUUUUUGUGGCAUGGAAAUAAGAUGGGAAAUUAGUUUUACGAUGGAAAAUAAAAGGA
This 297-nucleotide long non-coding RNA is filed under the name Elaeis guineensis (African oil palm). Its description in RNAcentral is "long non-coding RNA (EGUI_LNC070957)". Lineage: Eukaryota; Viridiplantae; Streptophyta; Magnoliopsida; Arecales; Arecaceae. The record is from RNAcentral.